UCAAAAAUCGAAGAGGUGACCGAUAGACAAAGUGUCAUUAUUGUAAAAUGCAUGGAGCAAACAAUUAAAUACAAGAACUUUAUUAGCCUUAAAAACUAGUUGAAGAUAUAAAGAUGUCAAACAUCUAGAAAUUUUGAUAGAGAUCACGUUUAUACAAAAAUAUUGUUUGUGAUCUCACGACUCGUCCAAACCCCUCAACUACUAUUUUGGAGCCACAUUCGAUCCAUCAGUGGAGCAGCAAACGACAAAUAUCAAUUAUCUCAACAUCCUAUGAUUGACCUUAAAAAAAAUAUCAAAUCCCUCAAUUUUCUUCCAAUUUUUUUU
RNAcentral lists this long non-coding RNA (324 nucleotides) under Musa acuminata (dwarf banana). RNAcentral's name for it is "long non-coding RNA (MACU_LNC004364)". Lineage: Eukaryota; Viridiplantae; Streptophyta; Magnoliopsida; Zingiberales; Musaceae. The record is from RNAcentral.